UACGGGGGGAGCAAGCGUUGUCCGGAAUCAUUGGGCGUAAAGCGCGUGUAGGCGGCCCGGUAAGUCCGCUGUGAAAGUCGGGGGCUCAACCCUCGAAUGCCGGUGGAUACUGUCGGGCUCGAGUACGGGAGAGGCGAGUGGAAUUCCUGGUGUAGCGGUGAAAUGCGCAGAUAUCAGGAGGAACACCAAUUGCGAAGGCAGCUCGCUGGAACGGUACUGACGCUGAGACGCGAAAGCGUGGGGAGCAAACAGG
RNAcentral lists this ribosomal RNA (253 nucleotides) under uncultured bacterium. Its description in RNAcentral is "partial 16S ribosomal RNA". It matches the Rfam family "Bacterial small subunit ribosomal RNA", at positions 524 to 776 of the family's 1533-position model. The record is from RNAcentral.